This 510-nucleotide ribosomal RNA is filed under the name uncultured bacterium. RNAcentral describes it as "partial 16S ribosomal RNA". It matches the Rfam family "Bacterial small subunit ribosomal RNA", at positions 28 to 507 of the family's 1533-position model. The record is from RNAcentral.
GACGAACGCUGGCGGCGUGCUUAACACAUGCAAGUCGAACGAAGAGCGACGGAAGCUUGCUUCUAUCAAUCUUAGUGGCGAACGGGUGAGUAACGCGUAAUCAACCUGCCCUUCAGAGGGGGACAACAGUUGGAAACGACUGCUAAUACCGCAUACGAUCUAAUCUCGGCAUCGAGGAUGGAUGAAAGGUGGCCUCUACAUGUAAGCUAUCACUGAAGGAGGGGAUUGCGUCUGAUUAGCUAGUUGGAGGGGUAACGGCCCACCAAGGCGAUGAUCAGUAGCCGGUCUGAGAGGAUGAACGGCCACAUUGGGACUGAGACACGGCCCAGACUCCUACGGGAGGCAGCAGUGGGGAAUCUUCCGCAAUAGACGAAAGUCUGACGGAGCAACGCCGCGUGAGUGGUGACGGCCUUCGGGUUGUAAAGCUCUGUUAAUCGGGACGAAAGGCCUUCUUGCGAAUAGUGAGAAGGAUUGACGGUACCGGAAUAGAAAGCCACGGCUAACUACGUG